This 19-nucleotide non-coding RNA is filed under the name Mus musculus (house mouse). Lineage: Eukaryota; Metazoa; Chordata; Mammalia; Rodentia; Muridae. The record is from RNAcentral.
UAGAAUCCGAUGGGGCAGG